AUUUAAAAUCUGGUGGUCUUUGGCCAUCCGAGUUGUAAUCUAGAGAAGUGUUACCCGUGUCGGACCGUGUACAAGUCUCCUGGAAUGGAGCGUCAUAGAGGGUGAGAAUCCCGUCUUUGACACGGACUACCGAGGCUUUGUGGUGCGCUCUCAAAGAGUCGAGUUGUUUGGGAAUGCAGCUCAAAAUGGGUGGUAAAUUCCAUCUAAAGCUAAAUAUUGGCGAGAGACCGAUAGCGAACAAGUACCGUGAGGGAAAGAUGAAAAGAACUUUGGAAAGAGAGUUAAACAGUACGUGAAAUUGCUGAAAGGGAAACGCUUGAAGUCAGUCGCGUUAGCCGGAAAUCAGCCUUGCUUUUGCUGGGUGUAUUUUCUGGUUGACGGGCCAGCAUCAGUUUUGACCGGUGGAAAAAGUCUAGAGGAAUGUGGCAUCUUCGGAUGUGUUAUAGCCUCUGGUCGUAUGCAUCGAUUGGGACUGAGGAACUCAGCACUGCUUAGGAUGCUGGCAUAAUGGCUUUAAUCGACCCGUCUUGAAACACGGACCAAGGAGUCUAACAUGCCUGCGAGUGUUUGGGUGGAAAACCCGGACGCGUAAUGAAAGUGAAAGUUGAGAUCCCUGUCAUGGGGAGCAUCGACGCCCGGACCAGAAGUUUUCUGACGGCCCUGCGGUAGAGCAUGUAUGUUGGGACCCGAAAGAUGGUGAACUAUGCCUGAAUAGGGUGAAGCCAGAGGAAACUCUGGUGGAGGCUCGUAGC
RNAcentral lists this ribosomal RNA (752 nucleotides) under Psathyrella noli-tangere. RNAcentral describes it as "eukaryotic LSU rRNA". It matches the Rfam family "Eukaryotic large subunit ribosomal RNA", at positions 113 to 881 of the family's 3401-position model. The record is from RNAcentral. Lineage: Eukaryota; Fungi; Basidiomycota; Agaricomycetes; Agaricales; Psathyrellaceae.